This 531-nucleotide long non-coding RNA is filed under the name Mustela putorius furo (domestic ferret). Its description in RNAcentral is "lncRNA (ENSMPUG00000032014.1)". The record is from RNAcentral. Lineage: Eukaryota; Metazoa; Chordata; Mammalia; Carnivora; Mustelidae.
UCUGUCACUUUAGUUGGAGGUUCUUAGAUUCGUGGAAUUCUAGAAUCUUACACCACGGAGAUCAGCAUCUUCCUGUCAAACCAGUUUAGUCUCAAAGCCUUAGAGGGAUGGACUCCUGGAGGUUCGCUCACUUUGCUGAGUUCUCUGAUCCUGAGUCACGAGUGGGGAGACCUUCUCUGAUGACCUUCCCCACAACACACGCCCACACCCCUCUCUGUCACUCUAUUGUUUCACUUGGCUUCAUUGUUCUUCCCAACACGGCUCACCACCUGACAUCUGAGGAGCGAGAGGCUGCCAAACUGCCUGGCCUUGAACCCCAGCCUAGGAACCCAGUUCUGGAACACUGCCUGAACACACAAGCCGGUUAUUUUUAAAAAUCCAAAAAGAAAAGGAAGAAAGAGCAAACUCACUGCUUCGGUCUAUGCACCAGCCCCAGCUGAGAGAAUAGAGGCUUGAAAGGAACAAAGAAUUUCCUCAAACACGGCAGAUCAAGGGCUUGGCUUAUGCGGUAACCGGUGGCCGACCACAGCG